This is a long non-coding RNA of Dendroctonus ponderosae (mountain pine beetle), 853 nucleotides long. RefSeq lists it as uncharacterized. The record is from RefSeq and is a predicted model, not a curated record. The transcript is spliced from 2 exons. Lineage: Eukaryota; Metazoa; Arthropoda; Insecta; Coleoptera; Curculionidae.
AAAUAGGAAAUAAUUUAGUGCUAUGAAUUAGGCGCGAAGUGCAAAAGUUAAUGCAGAAUAAGACAUAGUUGGAACGUAAUUAAGCUUUUACGCUUUUUUAAGUCCUGAUUAGGUGAUUAACCGAUAAUGGCAAUCAUAAAAGCAAUGGGAGACAAGCGAAGGAAGUUAUUCAAGCCUUAAAAAGCAUGAUGGGUGGAAAUCGACUACAGGACCCGAAGGAUUUAACGAAAAAUCAAUAAGCCGCAUCUAACAAGCAAGUUUCUAAAUUUAUUUGAAAAUGUACUGAAAAUAUAUAAAAUAUUCAUAAUAUAAACGUAAACAUACUUGUUGCAAAUGUAUGAAUGUUCGUUGUUAUUUCAAUAUAUGUUGGAAUUUUCUUCGCUUUUAAUAUAAUAUGUUGUUUGUUAUUUUAUAAUAUUUUUAGGAAAGUUAAAUUUAAAAAUUGACGGUUUUAGCGUAAAUUAAGGAACUAAUGAAUGGGGAUUUUUCAGACUAGUAACAGACAAACUAAAUUCGUUCCUUAAAAACUUGUAUAUUCACAACAUGCAAAUAUUUCAUGGCCUCUAUUCUCAAUUAAAAAUCUUAUAUAAAAAUAGGUACUAAUGUUUUUCACUAAAUCACCUAUUUAUAUAUUUUUGGUAUAUGACGGAUGUAAAUCGACCUCACUAGACGAAGGAUUUAAUAAAGAAUCGAUAAGCAGCAUCUAACAAGCGGAUUGCCAAAUUAAUAAAAAAAUACACUUGAUUCGAUAAAAAUUUACUCAAAAUAUAUAAACUGUUCAAAAUGGAGACAUAAACAUAGUUAUUAAUGCAAAUGUACAAAUGUUCGUUGCUAAUAUAAUAUAUAGAGAAAA